Molecule: transfer RNA, 70 nt
Filed under: Marmota monax (woodchuck)
Lineage: Eukaryota; Metazoa; Chordata; Mammalia; Rodentia; Sciuridae
Description: tRNA.Pro
Source: RNAcentral
GUGCAAGGGCUCAGUGGUAGAGCGCUUGCCUAGGAUGGAUGAGGGUCUGGGUUCGAUCCUCAGUACCACA